UUUCCGUAGGUGAACCUGCGGAAGGAUCAUUAGUGAUUUGACCACUCUGUGGUCUCAAAACUAUUCCACAUACCUCUGUGAACUGUUAGAUCUCCGGAUCUGUAUUACAAACAUCAGUGUAAUGAACUUAAAAAGUAUUUAUAACCUAAUAAAACUUUCAACAACGGAUCUCUUGGCUCUCGCAUCGAUGAAGAACGCAGC
This 201-nucleotide unclassified non-coding RNA is filed under the name uncultured fungus. Its description in RNAcentral is "sequence contains ITS1, 5.8S rRNA gene". The stretch from base 153 to 201 matches the Rfam family "5.8S ribosomal RNA", at positions 1 to 49 of the family's 154-position model. Lineage: Eukaryota; Fungi. The record is from RNAcentral.